This 559-nucleotide small RNA is filed under the name Pongo abelii (Sumatran orangutan). RNAcentral's name for it is "processed transcript". The record is from RNAcentral. Lineage: Eukaryota; Metazoa; Chordata; Mammalia; Primates; Hominidae.
AGUCAUCCCCUCUUCUCCUCAGGAACCGCUCAAACCUGUGCCCCAAAGAUGAGGGCCCAGGAGGACCCCGAGGGCCGGACACAGCAUGAAUCCACCAGGGACCCCCCGACCCCGCUACCCACAGAGCCUAAGUUUGACAUGUUGUACAAGAUCGAGGACGUGCCGCCUUGGUACCUGUGCAUCCUGCUGGGCUUCCAGCACUACCUGACAUGCUUCAGUGGUACCAUCGCCGUGCCCUUCCUGCUGGCUGAGGCGCUGUGUGUGGGCCACGACCAGCACAUGGUUAGUCAGCUCAUCGGCACCAUCUUCACGUGCGUGGGCAUCACCACUCUCAUCCAGACCACCCUGGGCAUCCGGCUGCCGCUGUUCCAGGCCAGUGCCUUUGCAUUUCUGGUUCCAGCCAAAGCCAUACUGGCUCUGGAGAGAUGGAAAUGCCCCCCAGAAGGGUGCAGCCAUGGCAGCAUCUUCUCUCCCUCUCUGUCUCUGUACCUGGUCCGUGUGUGUGUCCCUGACUCUACCCCCAGAGGAGAUCUACGGUAACUGGAGUCUGCCCCUGAAC